This 274-nucleotide ribosomal RNA is filed under the name uncultured bacterium. Its description in RNAcentral is "partial 16S ribosomal RNA". It matches the Rfam family "Archaeal small subunit ribosomal RNA", at positions 473 to 747 of the family's 1478-position model. The record is from RNAcentral.
AAACCAGCACCUCAAGUGGUCAGGAUGAUUAUUGGGCCUAAAGCAUCCGUAGCCUGCUCUGUAAGUUUUCGGUUAAAUCUGUACGCUCAUCGUACAGGCUGUCGGGAAUACUGCAGAGCUAGGGAGUGGGAGAGGUAGACGGUACUCGGGAGGAAGUGGUAAAAUGCUUUGAUCUCUCGAUGACCACCUGUGGCGAAGGCGGUCUACCAGAACACGUCCGACGGUGAGGGAUGAAAGCUGGGGGAGCAAACCGGAUUAGAAACCCGGGUAGUCC